Molecule: RNase P RNA, 326 nt
Filed under: human gut metagenome
Description: Bacterial RNase P class A
Rfam family: Bacterial RNase P class A
About the family: Ribonuclease P (RNase P) is a ubiquitous endoribonuclease, found in archaea, bacteria and eukarya as well as chloroplasts and mitochondria. Its best characterised activity is the generation of mature 5'-ends of tRNAs by cleaving the 5'-leader elements of precursor-tRNAs. Cellular RNase Ps are ribonucleoproteins.
Source: RNAcentral
AGUAAGCCGGAUGGUCGCGUGCUAUGCACGAGGAAAGUCCGAGCUCCGCAGGGCAGGGUGCUGGGUAACACCCAGUGGAGGUGACUCCUAGGAAAGUGCAACAGAAAUAUACCGCCACGAAAGUGGUAAGGGUGGAAAGGCGAGGCAAGAGCUCACCAGCGGCCAGGCGACUGACCGGCUAUGUAAACCCCACCUGGAGCAAGGCAAAUAGGGGAGCAUAUGUGGCGGCCCGCCACGCCCCCGGGUAUGCUGCUUGAGACAGCAGGCAACUGCCGUCCUAGAUAGAUGACUAUCCAAAACAGAACUCGGCUUACAGACUUACUCAU